Molecule: ribosomal RNA, 484 nt
Filed under: uncultured bacterium
Lineage: Bacteria
Description: partial 16S ribosomal RNA
Rfam family: Bacterial small subunit ribosomal RNA
Source: RNAcentral
AUUGAACGCUGGCGGCAGGCCUAACACAUGCAAGUCGAGCGGAUGAAGGGUGCUUUCUCCUGGAUUCAGCGUCGGACGGGUGUGUAAUGCCUAUGAAUCUGCCUGGUUGUGGUUUAUAACGUCCUGAAACGGGCGCUAAUACCGCAUACGUCCUUAGGGUGCUAGUUGGUGUUCUUCGGACCUCUCCCUCUCUUAUGUGCCUAGGUCGGAUUUGCUAGUUGGUGGGGGAAAGUCCUACCAAGCCGACGAUCCGUAACUGGUCUGAGAGGAUGAUCAGUCACACUGGAACGGAGACACGGACCAGAGUACUACGGGAGGGAGCAGAGGGGAAUAUUGGACAAUGGGCGAAAGCAUGAUACAGAAAGGCCGAGUGUGAGAAGAAGGACUUGGGAGUGUAAAGAACGUUAAGUUGGGAGGAAGGGAAGUAAGAUAAAACCAUGCGGUAUUGACGUUAACAAGAGAAUAAGCACCGGCUAACUACGUG